This 253-nucleotide ribosomal RNA is filed under the name uncultured bacterium. RNAcentral describes it as "partial 16S ribosomal RNA". It matches the Rfam family "Bacterial small subunit ribosomal RNA", at positions 524 to 776 of the family's 1533-position model. The record is from RNAcentral.
UACAGAGGUCCCAAGCGUUGUUCGGAUUCAUUGGGCGUAAAGGGUGCGUAGGUGGCGUCGUAAGUCGGGUGUGAAAUCUCGGGGCUUAACUCCGAAACUGCAUUCGAUACUGCGGUGCUUGAGGACUGGAGAGGAGACUGGAAUUUACGGUGUAGCAGUGAAAUGCGUAGAUAUCUGGAGGAACACCGGUGGCGAAGGCGGCGUCCUGGACCAACACUGACACUGAGGAGCGAAAGCCAGGGGAGCAAACGGG